CAGCAGCCGCGGUAAUACGUAGGUGGCAAGCGUUGUCCGGAAUUAUUGGGCGUAAAGGGCUCGCAGGCGGUUUCUUAAGUCUGAUGUGAAAGCCCCCGGCUCAACCGGGGAGGGUCAUUGGAAACUGGGAAACUUGAGUGCAGAAGAGGAGAGUGGAAUUCCACGUGUGGCGGUGAAAUGCGUUGAGAUCGGAAAGAACACCAACAGCGUAAUCACUCUGCUAGGCCGACACUGACACUGAGAGACGAAAUCUAGGGGAGCAAAUGGGAUUAGAUACCCCGGUAGUCCCUGUCUCUUAUAC
RNAcentral lists this ribosomal RNA (301 nucleotides) under uncultured bacterium. RNAcentral describes it as "partial 16S ribosomal RNA". It matches the Rfam family "Bacterial small subunit ribosomal RNA", at positions 509 to 807 of the family's 1533-position model. The record is from RNAcentral.